AGAGUUUGAUCCUGGCUCAGGACGAACGCUGGCGGCGUGCUUAACACAUGCAAGUCAAGGGGGCCCAGCAAUGGGCAACCGGCGAACGGGUGCGUAACACGUGAGCAACCUACCGAAAUGUGGGGGAUAGCCGGCCUAACGGCCGAGUAAUACCGCAUACGCUCUCGAUGAGGCAUUUCAUUGAGAGGAAACCUACGGGACAUUUCGAGGGGCUCGCGGCCUAUCAGCUAGUUGGAGAGGUAACGGCUCACCAAGGCAACGACGGGUAGCUGGUCUGAGAGGAUGGCCAGCCACAUUGGGACUGAGAUACGGCCCAGACUCCUACGGGAGGCAGCAGUGGGGAAUCUUGCGCAAUGGCCUAACGGCUGACGCAGCGACGCCGCGUGUGGGAUGAAGCUCUUCGGAGUGUAAACCACUGUUGCCCGGGACGAAUAGCUCGAUUAAUCGAGCCUGACGGUACCGGGUGAGGAAGCACCGGCUAACUCCGUGCCAGCAGCCGCGGUAAUACGGGGGGUGCGAGCGUUGUCCGGAAUCACUGGGCGUAAAGGGCGCGUAGGUGGUUUGAUAAGGGUGUGGUGAAAGCCCGGAGCUCAACUCCGGGUCUGCCGUGCCGACUGUCAAACUCGAGGACUGUAGAGGCAGACGGAAUUCCGGGUGUAGCGGUGGAAUGCGUAGAGAUCCGGAGGAAGACCGGUGGCGAAGGCGGUCUGCUGGGCAGUUUCUGACACUGAGGCGCGACAGCGUGGGGAGCAAACAGGAUUAGAUACCCCGGUAGUCC
RNAcentral lists this ribosomal RNA (778 nucleotides) under uncultured bacterium. RNAcentral describes it as "bacterial SSU rRNA". It matches the Rfam family "Bacterial small subunit ribosomal RNA", at positions 8 to 796 of the family's 1533-position model. The record is from RNAcentral.